GACGAGGUGGAAAAUUACUCCAGUCUCAGUUUCCUGUAAAGACAGAUCAGCAGUUACACCCCUCCACGGGUUCUUUGUGAUGUCACUGAGGCGGUGAAAGGAGCACCUGCCUCUAAUGGCACCCACCAUUAAGUCGGAUCUCAGCAACCAUCUGCGUGGCAGGAGCUAUCACACUGGUGCCUCGCAGUAGCCAAGGAGAGACGCCAAUGAGGGAAUCAUUUUUCCACUUGGUGAAAUACAUUUUGCUGCGUGAAAGCACGAGGAGGGCCUGUCUUGGAUAGGUGGAGUGGUCCUAGGUCCUACUAGAUGGAAACCUCAGGACUCGGAAGAGGUUCACCUUUGGAGUGAGUCCCCCUAAGGGGCUGGCCAGCCUCACGCCAGCUGCCUUCUUCUCAUGACGUGUGGUGUCCUCACA
This 415-nucleotide long non-coding RNA is filed under the name Pan troglodytes (chimpanzee). Its description in RNAcentral is "long non-coding RNA NONPTRT009657". The record is from RNAcentral. Lineage: Eukaryota; Metazoa; Chordata; Mammalia; Primates; Hominidae.